GUGGUGAUUGUACCAUGACAGUCUUCUAUUGCUACGUUUGUUGCUUGGAGGUAGUCUUUCUGGAAUGGUGGAACCUCAACCUCACUAAAAACCAAUGAAGAAAUCGAAGCAGCCACGGAAUACCUAAACACGAGCAUAAUAAACGCUAUCCGCUUCUCCACACCGGCAAUAACGUCCAUCAGCAAUCACGAAUACCCCCAGUACAUAUUUAAAAAAAUAGCAGAAAAACGUAGACUAAGAAGGAUAUGGCAGACCCAUAGAACACCGGGG
RNAcentral lists this unclassified non-coding RNA (270 nucleotides) under Bombus terrestris (buff-tailed bumblebee). RNAcentral's name for it is "misc RNA ENSBTSG00005029107.1". The record is from RNAcentral. Lineage: Eukaryota; Metazoa; Arthropoda; Insecta; Hymenoptera; Apidae.